AGGUUUUUCUGGAUCCUAGUCGUACCCACAGAUUUAAAUCCAAGAAGUACGUCCUUGAAUUUUUUGAGAAACAAAAAGAAUCAAAUGUGGCGGAGUGAGGUCAUUCAAUUUGGAUCAGUUUUCAAGGGGCACAUGUAUGAUCUAUUAUAUAGUGGUUUGGUGAUAUUUGUUAAUAUUAGGGUUUCAUCACUUGGAUUAGGCUGAUCAGUUUCUCCAGGACCCAUCUGAUUGACCUAUGAUUGUGAACCAUAAAUCCUUGGAUUUAUAUAUUUUUAUUUUCUGUUUCCUUA
Molecule: long non-coding RNA, 290 nt
Organism: Macadamia integrifolia
Lineage: Eukaryota; Viridiplantae; Streptophyta; Magnoliopsida; Proteales; Proteaceae
Exons: 2
Source: RefSeq, a predicted model, not a curated record